GCAAGAUCUACACACGUGUGCAUGUGGUGUUUGGUGAAGAAGUAUUAAACUUGUACACAUAUAUAAUAUAUACAGCAAACAGCCAACCAUGCAACGAAUGUCAAUGAAUCCAGAAGGUCUGGGCCUCUCCAGUGAACAGGUAAAGAAGAUGGAGGAAGAAGAGGCAUUGGCUGCAAGAUGGAAUGUCAUAUCGAGUGUCACUGCUUUUGGGACGAUAGUACUCUUGUUGAGAGUUGGUCCGACAGUUUGGAGACUCAUUACCAAGCAAAUAUCAUGAGGUGCCACACUCAGUAACUGUCUGUUAGCUACUCCGUGAGCAGUCAUAAAUUAUUUUGUGUUCUCUGAAAUCAUGAAAACAUGUCAUCUCAUUAAUACAGGCAUGCAUUAUUAAGUUGAUUUGAA
Molecule: long non-coding RNA, 402 nt
Organism: Halichondria panicea
Lineage: Eukaryota; Metazoa; Porifera; Demospongiae; Suberitida; Halichondriidae
Exons: 2
Source: RefSeq, a predicted model, not a curated record